RNAcentral lists this long non-coding RNA (326 nucleotides) under Equus asinus (donkey). RNAcentral's name for it is "lncRNA (ENSEASG00005025094.1)". Lineage: Eukaryota; Metazoa; Chordata; Mammalia; Perissodactyla; Equidae. The record is from RNAcentral.
UGCAGGAGGUUGAGGUCGCGGCCUUCGUUUCUCCCGGGGAGGACCACGGACACGAUCGUGGUCUCUGCAGCCUCUUCUCCUCCCCCUGCCCUGUCUUCGGAAAGAGGGCUGCAGAGAGGAGGGGGGAGCCCCACCGCCCAGGACUCCGCAUUCGUCUUCCGUGUCGGCUCCGAGUGGUGGAAGAAACACUAGCAAAUGUUUCUGCUACAAAGUUCUGGAGCCAGAAGUCCGAGAUCAAGGUGUUGGCAGGUUUGGUUUCUUCGAAGUCUCCCUCCUUGGUUUCUAGACGGCUUCCUUCCUGUGGUCUCACCUGGUCUUUCUGCUGU